GAUGAACGCUGGCGGCGUGCCUAAUACAUGCAAGUCGAGCGAACAGACGAGGAUCUUGCUCCUCUGACGUUAGCGGCGGACGGGUGAGUAACACGUGGAUAACCUACCUAUAAGACUUGGAUAACUUCGGGAAACCGGUGCUAAUACCGGAUAAUAUAUUGAACCGCAUGGUUCAAUAGUGAAAGACGGUUUUGCUGUCACUUAUAGAUGGAUCCGCGCCGCAUUAGCUAGUUGGUAAGGUAACGGCUUACCAAGGCAACGAUGCGUAGCCAACCUGAGAGGGUGAUCGGCCACACUGGAACUGAGACACGGUCCAGACUCCUACGGGAGGCAGCAGUAGGGAAUCUUCCGCAAUGGGCGAAAGCCUGACGGAGCAACGCCGCGUGAGUGAUGAAGGUCUUCGGAUCGUAAAACUCUGUUAUUAGGGAAGAACAAAUGUGUAAGUAACUAUGCACGUCUUGACGGUACCUAAUCAGAAAGCCACGGCUAACUACGUG
This 497-nucleotide ribosomal RNA is filed under the name uncultured bacterium. RNAcentral's name for it is "partial 16S ribosomal RNA". It matches the Rfam family "Bacterial small subunit ribosomal RNA", at positions 28 to 507 of the family's 1533-position model. The record is from RNAcentral.